UACUCCAGACUAUAUUUAAAAUGGUUUCAAGACCAGCGUUGACUACCUACCUCUCCUGACUACCUACCUCUCCUGGUUUACCUACCUCUCCUGGCUUCCCCAGGGAAAUUGGCUUUCCCAAUGACUACCAGCAUCUUCUGCCUAAACUGAAGCAUGGAGAGCUCAGGCGAAAGAGAAAUGUAUUUCUCAUACAUGGGAAAGAAUGAAGAGCUGUGUACUUCCCAAGGGACGCCGCUGCCCGAGCAAAGCCUGAAGAUUUUCAGUUGUGGUUGUAUCCAGGAGAUCAGCCUGUACUCUUCCUGUGAAGGUACCUUGAUGCCCAAGAAUACAGAUGCCACCUGGGACAACUCACCUCUGGAAACAUAUUGACUUUAUCCCUGGCACUCGCAUUCACAAUUUGGCUUUAUUUUUAAGCAAAAACACCUCUUUAAAAAACACAAACCCCAAAUUAUUGGUAGUCUCGUUUUCAGCGUUUUGCUAUUUCAGUGGAAGUCCUGAUUCCCUCCUGCCUUUUCUAAAUUGUCCUUUUCACUCAUUUCUCCUCCACACACUUCCAUUUGGUCAUCCACCCUCUCUAUUCUCUUUUUUCACAUUUUCCACUUUUUUGGUUGCCUCUACCUCUGAAAAAGCUUGUGAUGAAGGAUGGAAAGAGGUGAUAGAGAAGUGAGAAUGAGACACAGAGGCAUAAUGGAAAGAAAUGGGACAAAGGUACCCCACUCUCCCCAACCUGGAGUCCCACAAAACGGUCUUAACUUCAGCAAUUUUCACCUCUUUUUGCUGCCUCUUUGAUACAUUUUCAAGGAGAUUCCCAAUCUCCCCCAAAUCAAGGCUGUAUCUUCCAAAGUGUUGAAGCAUAAAGCAAUCCACUCCAACAGAUAAUCCACUGUAUAAAAUUUUCUAAUUUGUAUCAGAAUGUCCCUGGAAUCUGUAUAAUGAAUUCAUUGUUCCCAGAGUCACUUGACCAACAUUUUGGCUGAUUAUCUGGCAAGAUGCCCUGGUCAUAUAAAGUCAAACGAGGUUUGUGGGAUGUAAUUUCCUUGUAUAAACAACAUAUUCUAUACUCUGAUAAAUAACCCCAGAAUGAUUUAUUGUUUUACACAGGUACUUAAUUCCCGAUGCCUCCCACUAAGCCACACCCCUUGUGUCAAUCCUAAUUUUAAUUUUAAAUUAAACACUGCAAACGGUCAUAUAUUGGAUAUAAGAGAGCAGGACCAGUCUAACGAAUUAGUUAUUAGAAGGAGGAGCAUGAGGAAUAUGUGUUAGAAUUUCUCGUCAAUUCCUAUCUACAAGUGAUCAUCUUAUCCAUCUAACUCAUUUUACAGAUGAGAAAAUUGAGGCCCAGGGGUGUGGUAAAAUGCACCCAAAGUUGCACAUGAGUUGGGGGGAUGUCCAGUCUCCCCUCUGGGCUUCUGUGUAUAUAGCACUUUCUGCCUGGAGACUAUUCGAAAUGGCCAACACUCACCCCCACACUCUCUUUGUCCUUCCUAGUGUGGUGCUCACUUCUCUUGGAAUAAUUUCUGUGAAAAGCCCCAAACACAUAAGCUUGAAGAACACCCUACACUUACCUCUCUCUGUGACUUACCACCAAGUGGUGCUUUGGGGUUAUUUACUCGUUUGUCUCUCUCUGAACCAUAAACCCUUUCCUUACUUCUGUGACUCAGAGCUUCCGGAGUGCCUGGAGCUUAAUAGAUGCUGAAUAAGCAUUUGUCGAGGGAUCCACCCAGGUCUCUUACUCUCUCAGACCACCUCGCUUACCUUUAUACCAGGAUAUGCAAAACGUAGAGGGCGCUUGGAAACAGAGCUUUCUUUCUCCCAGACUUGUGGUAAGUGAGCUGCCUUUAUUCCAAAACAGUCAAAAGCCAACCACAAAGAUCCAUCAGUCGAUGGCUUAUUCUCUUUGGUUCAAUUUAAUUCACUUUGAAUGACUGUCCAUUACAUACGAGGCUCUGUGAUGCCUACUUGGAAAUACGAAGGAUGUUUGAGAUGCAAAUGAUUUCAUGGACUAGCUAAGCCUGAGGACCACAGAGGAGAAACCAUGCCCCAGUGUGGCAAGCGCUUUCGAAUGCCGUCAGAACAUUUAAGAGCUAAUCUGGACUUGCUCUUGACGAGCAAGGUUUGCACAGUCCAAGGAGCCAGGCGAAGGACCAUAACUUCAGGAAAGUUGGCUAAAAGGAUUUGACAUCACAUCUAGAGUCUAGCUGAUUUCACAGAAAAAUACUGGAUGGUGACUUUCCUAUCAUAUCAAGAAAAAAUUCUGGCAACACAAUGGUCACUGGAGAAGCAGGUUGGGGCUAUUGGUGAUGGUGGUAAGGAUUGUGGAGUUAUCUGCUCUGGCAAUGAGAUGUGAACCAUUUAUAUUCACGGUUCCCAAUGUUCAUAUGUCUUUAAAUUUAGUUGUGGGGAAAAUGGCAGUCUAAAACAUUGUUGAUGAAGAGAAGAUAUGCAUCGCUACACAUUGUCAGCUUAGCAAAACAAUCCACCACAAAUGAAAUGAAUAAUAAUGAAACUAAAGAAACUGUAAUUUGUGGUUAAAAGCAACACCACCAGCAACUGAAAAAUAUAACUUGGGCAGAGUCCCCUCAGUCACCUAACAGCCAUUCAUGCUUCCUCCUUCCUAACAGAGCCUAGGAUUUGUUAAGGAAUAUAUUCUCCUCUACGUAGCCAAGUGUGUUAGGAGAGGCUGGCCCAUUCUUAGCUUCAGCUUUUUAUAAAGGUAGAUUCUGGUUUGUCUACAUUCAGUUCAACUUUCCUUGCUGGUGGUUGGAUUAGGCACUAGCCAGUGACAAAAGCUCUUCUGAACACGGCUGUGUCAGAAUGCAGUGCCUGGAAUUGGAACCCUGAGAGAUGCUAGCCUGGGGACAAAACUUAUGCAGAAAGGGGAGGAGCUAAUAAUAACCAUCCUUACUGUUUAAGCCAUUUGAGUCAGGUUUCUGUGAUUUGUUGCCAAAACUUUCCUGAUACAAUGACACAUCUAGAGUGAUAAUGCACUCACAACAAAAUCCCCUUAGGGAGGCUUUGCAACAUUACAAGCAUUAAAAGAGAGGUCAAGCUUUUUAGAGGAAUUCUGAACAAGAGUCUUUGAUAAACUCUAGAAACUGCUGAGGGUAGUUGGUGAAUACCAAGUUUUAUUAAUUCUGCUAACUCCUUUGUUAAGUUACUACCAAGGAACCCUUUCAAGUGUAUGUAAGAUGAAGGUUUGAGAACCAUCAGAAGGGUGCCCAAUUUGGAUCACCUCUUAGCAGAGGGUGGAGUCCAAACAACAUUACAAAACAAA
Long non-coding RNA from Rhinolophus ferrumequinum (greater horseshoe bat), 3274 nucleotides. RefSeq lists it as uncharacterized. NCBI's taxonomy places the organism in Eukaryota, Metazoa, Chordata, Mammalia, Chiroptera, Rhinolophidae. The record is from RefSeq and is a predicted model, not a curated record. The transcript is spliced from 6 exons.